GUCACAGCAAAUAAUGACGCAAAAGUAAGGAUUUAUGAUGCCAAGACUUUCGCUUGCCUCAACGGCUUCACAUUUGGCUGGUCCGUAAAUAACACCUCUGUUAAUCCAGAUGGAAAGAUGCUUGCAGUGCUUGGAGACAGCACAGAGUGUCUGCUUGCAGAUGCCAACUCUGGCAAAGUGAUCGAGAGCCUGAAAGGGCACUUGGAUUACUCGUUUGCUUCUGCGUGGCACCCUGAUGGACGCAUUUUAGCGACUGGGAACCAAGAUACCACCUGCAGGCUAUGGGACAUAAGGAAUACGUCCAAGUCCCUAGCUGUGCUCAAGGGAAGAAUGGGAGCAAUUAGAUGUGUGAAAUUCAGCUCCGACGGUAAAUUCCUGUCAACGGCAGAGCCUGCAGAUUUCGUCCAUAUUUACGAAAGUCACACAGGUUAUGAACAAGCACAAGAAAUCGAUCUGUUUGGUGAAAUUGCUGGAAU
Molecule: unclassified non-coding RNA, 476 nt
Filed under: Hevea brasiliensis (rubber tree)
Lineage: Eukaryota; Viridiplantae; Streptophyta; Magnoliopsida; Malpighiales; Euphorbiaceae
Source: RNAcentral